This 66-nucleotide transfer RNA is filed under the name Vestalis melania. RNAcentral's name for it is "tRNA-Asn". The record is from RNAcentral. Lineage: Eukaryota; Metazoa; Arthropoda; Insecta; Odonata; Calopterygidae.
UUAAUUGAAGCCAAAAAGAGGCCUAUCACUGUUAAUGGUAAAACUGAAUUUAGUAUUCCAAUUAAG